Molecule: long non-coding RNA, 6276 nt
Filed under: Lathyrus oleraceus (garden pea)
Lineage: Eukaryota; Viridiplantae; Streptophyta; Magnoliopsida; Fabales; Fabaceae
Description: Pisum sativum (pea) long non-coding RNA (PSAT_LNC020665)
Source: RNAcentral
AAAAAAAAAAAUCUGAUUCUUUAUAUAUUUAACAAAAAAUACAUUGUUAAUAAAUUACAAUCGAUUAUACACUUUUAUAUAAUUUAUUAAUAAUAUAGAUAGUCUUUGACUAUACUCUCUCUUCCUAUAUAUUGAAAAUAUCAUCAUUUUAAAAAAAACUUAACAUAUUUAAUUUUUAUAUAUUUAGUAGGUUGAAAUAUACUCACUAUAUUAUUUAAAAAGUUUAAUUAUUUUUAUUUUCAGUUAAUUAUAUAUAUAUAUAUAUUAAAAAAUAUCUUUUUAAUUUUUUAAUGUUUCGGAGACACACGAUAGCAUUUUCAUAUAAUAUUAAUUAUAUUUUAGAACAUUAAUUUUUGUUAGAUUAACUGAAAAAAGUUAAAAUUUUAAAAAUAUUCAUUAAAUAAUACAAUUCUUUAAAUUUUUGUGAUAGUCAUAAAUGAUCACGUCACUCUAAUUAAUAAUUUAAAAAAUAAUUUAUAUAAUUUUUUUUUUAUCUUUAACUAAAUAUUUUAAAAAAUUCUUUAAAAAUAUAUUUAGUAUAUUACUUUGAAAUAUAUAAAUAACACUUGAUAAAAAAAAUAAAAAACAAUAACAAUAACAAAUAUAUUAAUUUCCAUGUGCUUGUCUUGUCUCUCUUCCCUCCAAUCAUUUUCCUCUGUUUUUCUUUUCUUUUCCAUUUUCUUCUUUCUCUUCUGAUUAUUUUCCGGGAAAAAUUUCUCUCCCUCUGGUUUUCCGGCGAUACAAGAGGAAGUAGAAGAGUAGAAGGAAUAAAUUUCUCUGCUUCUACGUAAACUCUUUUUCUUCCCUUUCCUUUACCUUCUCUAUUUCCGUGAUCAACUUAAACUCUUCAACAACUACUACUACAAUAACAACCAUCAUCCAUGAAUUUCAUCUAGCGUAUUAUUCUAUCUCUUUUGAUUUCUUCACUUUCUACUCUUUCACAAGGUACUACUCUUUCGAUUUUUGGGUUUUUUUUUUUAAUUUCUCUUUUGAAUUUAUGUUUCUCAAGUGUUGGGGUUGACUCAAAAUUUAUUUUUCCCUUAAAAAUUCGGUCUUUUUGUGCUUGAUCGGUUUAAUUGGCAAGUGGGUCCAUUAUUUGGUUGCAAAAUUUUGAGCUUUGAUGAAUUACCAGAAAAUAUGUUCUUUGGUUUUUAGGUGGGUCCGUGUUGAUGAAUUAUCUGGGUAGCAACUGUACUUUUCUAUCAUUUAUUUCUUGGAAUUUUUUUUCUGGGUAGGAAUGAAGUUGAUUAAACUUUCUGAAAUGCAUCAUCUACUAACUAUAUUUUUAGCAUGAAUUUUGUUUGAAUAGAUAGAUCUCUCCAAUUUGUGUUGUAUAUUAUUGAGGCAUGUGUUGUUAUGGAUACUGAGAUGAUGAUUUUAUCUGAAAGUUUCAUGCAUAGUUUGUAAGUUAGUUGACUAUAUAUUGUUGUGUUAGCUGGGAAAUGCUUUUGCAGAUAAAUGUUUUAUACCUAUUUUUAUUGAACUUUUGUAAUUGUAGCAGAGAUAGGGAUAUUGCGCUGGAUGUGUGGUAAGACUAGACAUGAUAAGAUUAGAAAUGAAAAUACUAGAGAGUAUAGUAGAAAAGACGGUGGAAAAUGGACUUAGGUGGUUUGGACAUGUAGAGAGAAGACAAGUAUAUUUUGUGGUAAAGAGAGUAGAUCAGAUGGAGAGGAGUCUAUCUGCUAGAGGUAGAGGAAGACUUAGAAAAACUAUAAGAAAAGUUAUUUAGAAAGAUCUUUGAGAUUAACGUUUGUGAUAGAAACAUGAUCCUGGAUAGAAUAUUAUGGCAAAAGUUGAUCUAUGUAAAAGCAUGUUAUGUAGGUUAUUCAAGGGAUUGCAUUUGACUCUCUCUACUGGGUGAUUUCUAUGAGUGAUUCAAAGUAAAAAAGAGAUAAAACUAUUGAGGCAAUUGUUAUCUCUUUUUGGAAUACUAAAAUGUUUUGAAUGCUUACUUGUAACAAUUUUUCUGUUGAUGUUACAUUGGUUUUGUAUAGUUUCAUGAUGUUUUAUAUUAACUGAUACUAAGGUAUCUGACUCGUUUCUUCUCAUUUUGCAACAUUACUAGAAAAGUGACUGAAAAUGGACAAACAUUCCGGGGAUUCUUUGCCCGCUCGUGGUACUGCAGGUUCUUCUUCUAACUUCAUACAUAAAAAUAAAACAUUUGUACAAAGAUUUUGAUUUUUUUAAUUGAUGUCGCUUUUUGUAGGGCUGUCUGGGAUUUCCUCGCUAAAUAUUCCAAAUAAAGCAGGAAGCAGUGCAUGGAGAAUACCGAACGCGACUGAUGUAUUUCAAGAUUCUAAUGAUGUUAGCUUGUUUUCUACUUCAUUGCCUGUUCUUCCGCAUGAAAAUUGUAAGUUUUUGUGAUAUCGUUUUCUUAUAGAAUAGUAAGGAAUCAGUAAAGUUGGUUAUUGUAAUGUUUUUUUUUGUGCCAAUAUGCAGUAAAUUUGACCGAUUCUGAACAAUAUGGUCAACUGGUGGAUGAUAACUUGCUAACAGUAGAUAAAGUUCAUAAAGAGGACGAGGGGCAUGAUCCUUUUGAUAACUUCGAAAUUAAUGCCAUUGGAAACAUGCUACCUGAUGAUGAAGACGAGCUUUUAGCUGGGAUAAUGGACGAUUUUGAUCUUAGCGGGUUACCAAAUCAACUGGAGGAUUUGGAUGAAAACGAUCUGUUUGUUAAUGGAGGUGGAUUUGAAAUGGAUUUUGAAUCCCAAGAGGGUCUUAGUUUUGGUGUUUCAAAGAUGAGUAUAUCAGAUGGAAUUGCUUCUAAUGGCAUUGGACCAUAUGCGAUUCCGAAUGGUGUAGGAACAGUGGCUGGAGAGCAUCCCUACGGAGAGCAUCCAUCGAGGACAUUGUUUGUUCGGAACAUCAAUAGUAACGUUGAGGAUUCUGAAUUAAGAACACUAUUUGAGGUAUUAUACACUUACCUAAUGAUUCAAUAUAUAUUAUAUUUAUCUUUGGACACAAUGGUUAUUGGUUAAUGUUCGCAUCGUUGAUUAUUUCUUAUUUUAUAGCAAUACGGGGAUAUCAGAACUUUGUACACUGCAUGCAAGCACAGGGGCUUCGUGAUGAUAUCUUACUAUGAUAUACGAGCUGCUCGCACUGCAAUGCGUGCUUUACAAAACAAACCCUUGAGACGAAGGAAACUCGAUAUUCAUUUUUCAAUUCCUAAGGUUUGAUUUAGAGAAUUACUUAAUGUUUGACGAAUUGUAAUUGACAUUGCCUUUGUGUUAUUCAUCUCUUUUAUUCGGUUUUGAAAGGAUAACCCUUCGGAAAAAGAUAUAAACCAAGGAACCCUCGUAGUGUUCAAUUUAGAUCCAUCGGUAUCAAAUGACGACCUUCGUCAGAUAUUCGGGGUUUAUGGUGAGGUCAAAGAGGUAAUAUUUGGACUCCCUUCACCUUUUCUACUGCUUAGUUUUUAUCUAGUGCUUGAAGCAGUGUUAAUUUUGUAUUAAAACUGCAGAUCAGGGAAACACCGCACAAGAGACACCAUAAAUUUAUCGAGUUUUAUGAUGUUAGAGCAGCAGAUGCAGCUCUUAAAGCGUUAAAUCGAAGCGACAUUGCUGGCAAACGCAUAAAACUUGAACCUAGCCGUCCUGGUGGAGCCCGCAGAAAGUAAGUUCCGUUAUAUCUUAUAUCUUUAUUUGUAUGCUAUAAACAUAAUUAAACUUGUAUAAAACUUGUCACACACAUUGUCUUGUUAGCUUGAUGCAACAACUGAGUCAAGAAUUGGAACAAGAUGAAGUUCGAACUUUCAGGACUCAAGUAGGUUCACCUAUAGCCAGUUCUCCUCCUGGUAAAUAUCUCCUAAUCUGAUUUUGUUUUCUCGUGUUAUAUCAUUGAAGAAAGGUAUCUUCUUUUACAAGGUAAGUUUAAUACGUAAUUUUUUCACAGGUAGCUGGGCACAAUUUAGUAGUCCGGUUGAACCUAAUCCGUUAGGUUCUUACAGCAAGUCCCCUGGUUUGGGUCAUGCCAGCCCGAUUAAUAUCAAUCAUUUGUCCGGAUUGGCUGCAAUUCUUUCCCCGCACGCAUCAACCUCUCCCAAAAUUGCGCCGAUUGGCAAGGACCCUGGAAGAGUUUCAAAUCAGAUGUUUGCCAGCUCUGGAGGAUCAACACAUGGAGUAGCUUUUCAACAUUCUAUCUCCUUUCCUGAAAAAAAUAUAAAUGCAAGUCCUAGGCCGAUAUCUGCUUUUGGUGAAUCAAAUUCAAAUUCAUCGAGUGUUGGAACAUUGUCUGGUCCCCAAUUUCUUUGGGGAAGCCCGACUCCUUACUCGGAGAAUUCAAACACAUCUGCCUGGUCUUCGUCUUCCGUUGGGCAUCCAUUUACAUCUAGUGGCCAAAGGCAGGGUUUCCCGUACACAGGUCAUCGCAAUCCUUUUCUCGGCUCCCAGCAUCACCAUCAUGUAGGAUCUGCUCCAUCCGGCCUUCCUCUUGAACGAAAUUUCAGAUACUUUCCAGAAUCACCGGAUACCUCUCUCAUGAGCUCCAUUGAAUUUGGGAAUUUAAAUCACGGCAAUGGGAAUUUUAUGAUGAACAUGGGCUCUCGUCCAUCUGUCGGGCAUGGUAUUGGCCUUUCAGCAACUUCCAGUGAAAUCGGUUCGCCUAAUUUCGGAAUGAUGUCCGUACCUGGUCAUGGUUCCUUGUUCAUUGGAAAUAGUUUGUACGCUGGACCUGGACUAUCUAGCAUCGAGGGAUUUGGUGAACGUGGACGAAAUCGGCGACCUGACAAUAAUGUGAACCAAAUCGAAAGUAAGAAGCUGUACCAGCUUGAUCUUGACAAAAUCAUCAGUGGUGAAGAUACAAGGACAACUCUAAUGAUUAAAAACAUUCCUAACAAGUAAGAACAACAACUAGACAAAUAUUCUAACGAUGCCAUCAGAAUCCUUGAGAUGAAUUUCUUGAUGACUUUUGUCUGUUGUGAUUGCUUUUAAGGUACACUUCAAAGAUGCUACUCGCCGCAAUUGAUGAGAAUCACCAGGGGACUUACGACUUCCUCUACUUGCCAAUUGACUUUAAAGUAUGCUCAUCCUAUAUAUAUUUUUCAAUUAGAGAUUUAUGGUUUUGGUUCUGUUUCCAGGAUGACUUAUUUAUUAAUGCCGGUUUUCGCUUGCAGAAUAAGUGUAAUGUCGGUUACGCAUUCAUCAAUAUGGUCUCUCCUUCACACAUCGUCGCCUUCUAUAAGGUUUAAUUUCUAUACCCUUGCAUGCCUGAUUUGUUUUGGUAUCGAGAAGUAUAAUAUGCGUCGUUAAAUUUUAAGAACUCUAUCAUUAAAAUUUAUGCAGGCCUUUAACGGAAAGAAAUGGGAGAAGUUUAAUAGCGAAAAAGUUGCUUCACUGGCAUAUGCACGGAUUCAAGGAAAGGCUGCACUUGUGAUGCAUUUUCAGAACUCAAGCUUAAUGAAUGAGGAUAAGCGAUGUCGGCCAAUCCUUUUUCAUUCAGAAGGCCAAGAUACUAGUGACCAGGUAACAAUAUAUUCGCUUCAAUUGCUUGAAAUGUCAAUAUUUCUGCCUUGACACAUUGGUCCCGAGUCCUGUCCUUCGAUUGUCUGACAGUUUCCGUCUGUUAUCGUACCAUCCAGGAACACUUUCUAUCCAGCAACUUGAAUAUAUGUAUUCGUCAACCAGACGGGUCUUACUCGGGUGAUAUGUUGGAGAGCCCGAAGAGCUAUUCAGAUGAAAAUCUGGAAAAAGAUUGACCAUUUGUUAGAUAUAUUAUUGUUCCUAGCCACAUUACAUAUGGUCUAGGAGUGCUAACUAUUGCAUAGGUGAUCUUAAAGAUGUACAAAGUUGAUUCAUAAAACAAAAAAAAACGGUGUAUAAAGAUUAAGGGCGGAAUCCAUUUAUCAGCGCAUCAUAAUCUUUAAAAAAACGCAGAAACCAAGGCGUACGUAGAGAAACAAUUGUGUUAUAAUACCAGAGGAAAAGAAUAAAUCGGAGCUCGAGGUGUAUUGCUGGAUGGUAAAUUUCUACAGCAGCAUGCAUACUGUUUGUGCAGGAUAUUUUUUCUGGUCUUUUGUUGUUUUGUUGAGGCUGUUAUGGUCUUUUGAGAAAUAUUACUAUGUAUAUGUAUGUACCUAAAGAAAUUCUAGUUUAUGGAAAAAAGUUUGUAUAGAAGGGAAACAAUGAAGUAUCAUGUUUGUAAUUGUGGCUUUGUUCAGUCAAAAUGUGAAUGUACAUGUAUGUAACAUUGUGAACUGGUUUCAUGUGAAUGUUGUAAGUGAAAGUCUCAAUACAUUGUAAUAUUGGAGGUUUUUGUUAAGUAUUAUUUUUAUUGAUCUUA